AUUGAACGCUGGCGGCAGGCCUAACACAUGCAAGUCGAACGGUAACAGGAAACAGCUUGCUGUUUCGCUGACGAGUGGCGGACGGGUGAGUAAUGUCUGGGAAACUGCCUGAUGGAGGGGGAUAACUACUGGAAACGGUAGCUAAUACCGCAUAACGUCGCAAGACCAAAGAGGGGGACCCUCGGGCCUCUUGCCAUCGGAUGUGCCCAGAUGGGAUUAGCUUGUUGGUGGGGUAACGGCUCACCAAGGCGACGAUCCCUAGCUGGUCUGAGAGGAUGACCAGCCACACUGGAACUGAGACACGGUCCAGACUCCUACGGGAGGCAGCAGUGGGGAAUAUUGCACAAUGGGCGCAAGCCUGAUGCAGCCAUGCCGCGUGUAUGAAGAAGGCCUUCGGGUUGUAAAGUACUUUCAGCGGGGAGGAAGGGAGUAAAGUUAAUACCUUUGCUCAUUGACGUUACCCGCAGAAGAAGCACCGGCUAGCUCCGUG
Molecule: ribosomal RNA, 490 nt
Filed under: uncultured bacterium
Lineage: Bacteria
Description: partial 16S ribosomal RNA
Rfam family: Bacterial small subunit ribosomal RNA
Source: RNAcentral